This 27-nucleotide non-coding RNA is filed under the name Bombyx mori (domestic silkworm). Lineage: Eukaryota; Metazoa; Arthropoda; Insecta; Lepidoptera; Bombycidae. The record is from RNAcentral.
UACUUCAAAAGUGAGGUCGUCUAUAAA